RNAcentral lists this ribosomal RNA (468 nucleotides) under uncultured bacterium. Its description in RNAcentral is "partial 16S ribosomal RNA". It matches the Rfam family "Bacterial small subunit ribosomal RNA", at positions 28 to 507 of the family's 1533-position model. The record is from RNAcentral.
GACGAACGCUGGCGGCGUGCUUAACACAUGCAAGUCGAACGGAAAGGCCCUGCUUUGGUGGGGUGCUCUAGUGGCGAACGGGUGAGUAACACGUGAGUAACCUGCCCUUGACUGUGGGAUAACUUCAGGAAACUGGGUCUAAUACCGGAUAGGAGCUCCUGCUGCAUGGUGGGGGUUGGAAGGUUUCGGCGGUUGGGGAUGGACUCGCGUCUUAUGAGCUUGUUCGUUGGGUAGUGGAUUACCAAGGCUUGGACGGGUAGCCGAGCUGGACGGGUGACCGGCCACGUUGGGCCUGAACUACGGCACAGCCCCGUACGGGAGGCAGCAGUGGGGAAGAUUGCACAAUGGGCGGAGGCCUGGUGCAGCACCGCCGCGUGCGGGAUGACGGCCUUCGGGUUGUAUUCCGCUUUCGCCUGUGACGAAGCGUGAGUGACGGUAAUGGGUAAAGAAGCACCGGCUAACUCCGUG